ACGCUCGACACCUACGGAGGAGCAGUGGGGAAUAUUGCACAAUGGAGGGAAACUCUGAUGCAGCGAUGCCGCGUGAGGGAAGAAGGUUUUCGGAUUGUAAACCUCUGUCUUUGGGGACGAUAAUGACGGUACCCAAGGAGGAAGCUCCGGCUAACUACGUGCCUGCAGCCGCGGUAAUCUGAGCGGGCUGGCAAGGC
Molecule: ribosomal RNA, 197 nt
Filed under: uncultured bacterium
Lineage: Bacteria
Description: partial 16S ribosomal RNA
Rfam family: Bacterial small subunit ribosomal RNA
Source: RNAcentral